This 301-nucleotide ribosomal RNA is filed under the name uncultured bacterium. Its description in RNAcentral is "partial 16S ribosomal RNA". It matches the Rfam family "Bacterial small subunit ribosomal RNA", at positions 509 to 807 of the family's 1533-position model. The record is from RNAcentral.
CAGCCGCCGCGGUAAUACGUAGGGUGCGAGCGUUAAUCGGAAUUACUGGGCGUAAAGCGUGCGCAGGCGGUUUUGUAAGACAGGCGUGAAAUCCCCGGGCUCAACCUGGGAAUGGCGCUUGUGACUGCAAAGCUAGAGUGCGGCAGAGGGGGAUGGAAUUCCGCGUGUAGCAGUGAAAUGCGUAGAUAUGCGGAGGAACACCGAUGGCGAAGGCAAUCCCCUGGGCCUGCACUGACGCUCAUGCACGAAAGCGUGGGGAGCAAACAGGAUUAGAUACCCCUGUAGUCCCUGUCUCUUAUAC